RNAcentral lists this ribosomal RNA (427 nucleotides) under uncultured bacterium. Its description in RNAcentral is "bacterial SSU rRNA". It matches the Rfam family "Bacterial small subunit ribosomal RNA", at positions 355 to 774 of the family's 1533-position model. The record is from RNAcentral.
UGGGGAAUUUUGGACAAUGGGCGAAAGCCUGAUCCAGCCAUGCCGCGUGAGUGAAGAAGGCCUUCGGGUUGUAAAGCUCUUUCAGGUGGAAAGAAAACGCAUAGGUUAAUACCUUGUGCGGAUGACGGUACCAUCAGAAGAAGCACCGGCUAACUACGUGCCAGCAGCCGCGGUAAUACGUAGGGUGCGAGCGUUAAUCGGAAUUACUGGGCGUAAAGCGUGCGCAGGCGGUUUAGUAAGACAGGCGUGAAAUCCCCGGGCUCAACCUGGGAACUGCGCUUGUGACUGCUAAGCUAGAGUACGGCAGAGGGGGGUGGAAUUCCACGUGUAGCAGUGAAAUGCGUAGAUAUGCGGAGGAACACCGAUGGCGAAGGCAAUCCCCUGGACCUGUACUGACGCUCAUGCACGAAAGCGCGGGGAGCAAACA